RNAcentral lists this ribosomal RNA (535 nucleotides) under uncultured Acidobacteriota bacterium. RNAcentral describes it as "bacterial SSU rRNA". It matches the Rfam family "Bacterial small subunit ribosomal RNA", at positions 13 to 529 of the family's 1533-position model. The record is from RNAcentral. Lineage: Bacteria; Pseudomonadati; Acidobacteriota.
UUGAUCCUGGCUCAGAAUCAACGCUGGCGGCGUGCCUAACACAUGCAAGUCGAACGCGAAAAGGGCUUCGGCUCUUAGUAGAGUGGCGAACGGGUGAGUUACACGUGGGUGACCUACCUUCGAAUGGGGGAUAACGUCCCGAAAGGGACUCUAAUACCGCAUAACAUCCUGCCUUUGAACAGGUGGAGAUCAAAGCCGGUGAUCGCAAGACCUGGCAUUUGAAGAGGGGCCCGCGUCUGAUUAGCUAGUUGGUGAGGUAACGGCCCACCAAGGCGACGAUCAGUAUCCGGCCUGAGAGGUCGGACGGACACACUGGGACUGAGACACGGCCCAGACUCCUACGGGAGGCUGCAGUGGGGAAUUGUUCGCAAUGGGCGCAAGUCUGACGACGCAACGCCGUGUGGAGGAUGAAGGUCUUCGGAUUGUAAACUCCUGUUGCCCGGGACGAAUAGCUUCGACCUAACACGUCGGAGUCUGACGGUACCGGGUGAGGAAGCCCUGGCUAACUCUGUGCCAGCAGCCGCGGUAAUAAGGU